GGCGAUCAGAAAUGAGGCGCUUUCACAAUCUCCCUCGUUCGGUUCGAGGCGGAAGAGUCCCGGGGAAGACAGCAGAUCAUGAUUCCGCGAACGGAGACGACGGGGAAGGGCAGGACAUCGCAUUCAUAUCACACACCAUAGCAUGCCGCGUGGAAUUUCUGAUGGUCCCAGACUGCAAAGAGGGUAAUGCUGGGCGCUACUCAUUGGGCACUUCAAUUGACUUGACUGAUGAGGUUAUGGCUCCUCAUGGAGAAAAUAAAAAAGGGUCUGACUGAUGGGGUUAUACCUCCUCCUGAACAAAAGGGGGAGAGGUUCCAACAGUAUAUGGCAAAUGAAGUUGGCAAAAACUCUGGCAUAAUGUGUCAUAUAAAAAUAAGCAAAUUUCCUGGUGAAGAAAUUAACAGAUUUGUACAUGUCACUAAUUCUGCUGAUUAUCCACAGAAAGUCAUACAAGGCUCUUUCCAUCUGGAGGAUGAGCGAUUUGAUUUUGACAGAAACAGACAGUGUGACAGCAGUAAUGAUGAGCAAGCUGAAGGAUGUGCUGACAUGGACAACAAAUGAAUUGGAUGCUGUUCUCUUGCAUGGUGAUGAGCUGUAUACAUUAAUGUGAUUACAGGGCAAGAUAGGUGACCCAACGCAGCGUGGUUAUGUAGCGAUUGCUGAAUUGCUAACAAUGCACACAUUCUGUAAUAACAA
Long non-coding RNA from Ictalurus punctatus (channel catfish), 696 nucleotides. RefSeq lists it as uncharacterized. The record is from RefSeq and is a predicted model, not a curated record. The transcript has 2 exons. NCBI's taxonomy places the organism in Eukaryota, Metazoa, Chordata, Actinopteri, Siluriformes, Ictaluridae.